GGAGGUUGGCUUAGAAGCAGCCAUUCCUUUAAAGAGUGCGUAAUAGCUCACUAGUCAAGCGACUCGGCGUCGAUAAUAAUCGGGCAUAAGUCGGAUACCGAAGCUGUGGGAUUUAACGAUCGGUAGGGGAGCAUUCCAGUCAGCGCAGAAGCAGCGCCCGCGAGGGGCCGUGGAGCGGCUGGAAGCGAAAAUGUAGGCAUGAGUAACGAUAAGAAGGGUGAAAAACCCUUCCACCGUAAACCCAAGGGUUCCUGAUCAACGCUAAUCGGAUCAGGGUUAGUCGAGACCUAAGGUGUACCCGGUCAGGCCGGGGAAGCCGAUGGCAAAGCGGUUAAAUAUUCCGCUACCGAAGCCAACGUAUGGCUAAGGCGUGACGCAGAAGUGACACUCCCGCGUGCUGACGAAUGCACGUUAAAGGGCGUAGGCCGGGGGGCAGGCAAAUCCGCCUCCCGUUAAGGCUGAACCCCGACAGUACUCGGAUUCUCACGAUGAAGAGAUAGUGGAGGUAAUCAUGCUGCCAAGAAAAGCGUCGUAGUUUGUCCAACGAGCUCGUACCCCAAACCGACACAGGUGGGUGAGGAGAGUAUCCUCAGGUGCUCGAGUAAUUCAUGGCUAAGGAACUAGGCAA
Molecule: ribosomal RNA, 628 nt
Filed under: uncultured Cafeteria
Lineage: Eukaryota; Bigyra; Bicosoecida; Cafeteriaceae
Description: sp. partial Bacterial large subunit ribosomal RNA
Rfam family: Bacterial large subunit ribosomal RNA
Source: RNAcentral